This 485-nucleotide ribosomal RNA is filed under the name uncultured bacterium. RNAcentral describes it as "bacterial SSU rRNA". It matches the Rfam family "Bacterial small subunit ribosomal RNA", at positions 915 to 1397 of the family's 1533-position model. The record is from RNAcentral.
GGGGGCCCGCACAAGCGGGUGGGAGCAUGUGGUUUAAUUCGAUGCAACGCGAAGAACCUUACCUACUCUUGACAUCCUGCGAACUUGUGAGAGAUCACUUGGUGCCUUCGGGAGCGCAGAGACAGGUGCUGCAUGGCUGUCGUCAGCUCGUGUUGUGAAAUGUUGGGUUAAGUCCCGUAACGAGCGCAACCCUUGUCCUUAUUUGCCAGCGGGUAAUGCCGGGAACUCUAAGGAGACUGCCGGUGACAAACCGGAGGAAGGUGGGGACGACGUCAAGUCAUCAUGGCCCUUACGAGUAGGGCUACACACGUGCUACAAUGGCCGGUACAAAGGGUUGCGAGCUCGCGAGAGUCAGCUAAUCCCGAAAAGCCGGUCUCAGUCCGGAUCGGAGUCUGCAACUCGACUCCGUGAAGUCGGAAUCGCUAGUAAUCGUGAAUCAGAAUGUCACGGUGAAUACGUUCCCGGGCCUUGUACACACCGCCCGU